CCUACGGGUGGCAGCAGUGAGGAAUAUUGGUCAAUGGACGAGAGUCUGAACCAGCCAAGUAGCGUGAAGGAUGACUGCCCUAUGGGUUGUAAACUUCUUUUAUAUGGGAAUAAAACGUUCCACGUGUGGGAUUUUGUAUGUAUCAUAUGAAUAAGGAUCGGCUAACUCCGUGCCAGCAGCCGCGGUAAUACGGAGGAUCCGAGCGUUAUCCGGAUUUAUUGGGUUUAAAGGGUGCGUAGGUGGAUUGUUAAGUCAGUUGUGAAAGUUUGCGGCUCAACCGUAAAAUUGCAGUUGAAACUGGCAGUCUUGAGUACAGUAGAGGUGGGCGGAAUGCGUGGUGUAGCGGUGAAAUGUUUAGAUAUCACGAAGAACUCCGAUUGCGAAGGCAGUUCACUGGACUGCAACUGACACUGAGGCUCGAAAGUGUGGGUAUCAAACAGGAUUAGAUACCCCAGUAGUC
Molecule: ribosomal RNA, 460 nt
Filed under: uncultured bacterium
Lineage: Bacteria
Description: partial 16S ribosomal RNA
Rfam family: Bacterial small subunit ribosomal RNA
Source: RNAcentral